Molecule: transfer RNA, 76 nt
Filed under: Candidatus Zixiibacteriota bacterium
Lineage: Bacteria; Pseudomonadati; Candidatus Zixiibacteriota
Description: tRNA-Glu
Rfam family: tRNA
About the family: Transfer RNA (tRNA) molecules are approximately 80 nucleotides in length.
Source: RNAcentral
GACCCCUUCGUCCAGUGGCCUAGGACGGCGCCCUUUCACGGCGCAAACACGGGUUCGACUCCCGUAGGGGUCACCA